This 255-nucleotide ribosomal RNA is filed under the name uncultured bacterium. RNAcentral describes it as "partial 16S ribosomal RNA". It matches the Rfam family "Bacterial small subunit ribosomal RNA", at positions 189 to 445 of the family's 1533-position model. The record is from RNAcentral.
AUGGUCGAUACAUCAAAGCUCCGGCGGUACAGGAUGGACCCGCGUCUGAUUAGCUAGUUGGUGAGGUAAUGGCUCACCAAGGCGACGAUCAGUAGCCGACCUGAGAGGGUGAUCGGCCACAUUGGAACUGAGACACGGUCCAAACUCCUACGGGAGGCAGCAGUGGGGAAUAUUGCACAAGUGGGCGAAAGCCUGAUGCAGCAACGCCGCGUGAGCGAUGAAGGCCUUCGGGUCGUAAAGCUCUUCCUCAAGGAA